This 72-nucleotide transfer RNA is filed under the name Hemisquilla californiensis. RNAcentral describes it as "tRNA-Val". Lineage: Eukaryota; Metazoa; Arthropoda; Malacostraca; Stomatopoda; Hemisquillidae. The record is from RNAcentral.
CAAGGUAGAGCUUGGUUUAGUUAAGCAUCUCACUUACGUUGAGAAGAUGUCGUGCAAAUCGAUUUACUUUGA